GGACGAACGCUGGCGGCGUGCUUAACACAUGCAAGUCGAACGGAAAGGCCCUGCUUUUGUGGGGUGCUCGAGUGGCGAACGGGUGAGUAACACGUGAGUAACCUGCCCUUGACUUUUGGAUAACUUCAGGAAACUGGGGCUAAUACCGGAUAGGAGCUCCUGCUGCAUGGUGGGGGUUGGAAAGUUUCGGCGGUUGGGGAUGGACUCGCGGCUUAUCAGCUUGUUGGUGGGGUAGUGGCUUACCAAGGCUUUGACGGGUAGCCGGCCUGAGAGGGUGACCGGCCACAUUGGGACUGAGAUACGGCCCAGACUCCUACGGGAGGCAGCAGUGGGGAAUAUUGCACAAUGGGCGGAAGCCUGAUGCAGCAACGCCGCGUGCGGGAUGACGGCCUUCGGGUUGUAAACCGCUUUCGCCUGUGACGAAGCGUGAGUGACGGUAAUGGGUAAAGAAGCACCGGCUAACUACGUG
RNAcentral lists this ribosomal RNA (469 nucleotides) under uncultured bacterium. Its description in RNAcentral is "partial 16S ribosomal RNA". It matches the Rfam family "Bacterial small subunit ribosomal RNA", at positions 27 to 507 of the family's 1533-position model. The record is from RNAcentral.